This 275-nucleotide long non-coding RNA is filed under the name Olea europaea (common olive). Its description in RNAcentral is "long non-coding RNA (OEUR_LNC014270)". The record is from RNAcentral. Lineage: Eukaryota; Viridiplantae; Streptophyta; Magnoliopsida; Lamiales; Oleaceae.
UUAGAGUGUCUUUAGGGCACUUGCCCUUCGAUGGGUGGUGCUUCUGACCGUGGCCGUGGCUGGGGGUGGGGGUGGUGGGUGUCGUUGGUGUUGGUGUUGGUGUUGGUGUUGUUGGUGGUGUUGGAGGGCAUGGGACAGAAUUGGAAGUGACUAAUGUGAAGAAGAGUAGGUUGAGAAGAAGGAGAAGGGUAGCUUUGGAAGCCAUUGAUUUUGAAGAUACUUGAAAACUUGUUUUGUUAAUGCAAGAGAGUUUAUAUUUUCGGCUGGGGUUGUGG